CCCUGGUAGUCCACGCCGUAAACGAUGUCGACUUGGAGGUUGUUCCCUUGAGGAGUGGCUUCCGGAGCUAACGCGUUAAGUCGACCGCCUGGGGAGUACGGCCGCAAGGUUAAAACUCAAAUGAAUUGACGGGGGCCCGCACAAGCGGUGGAGCAUGUGGUUUAAUUCGAUGCAACGCGAAGAACCUUACCUACUCUUGACAUCCAGCGAACUUAGCAGAGAUGCAUUGGUGCCUUCGGGAACGCUGAGACAGGUGCUGCAUGGCUGUCGUCAGCUCGUGUUGUGAAAUGUUGGGUUAAGUCCCGCAACGAGCGCAACCCUUAUCCUUUGUUGCCAGCGAUUCGGUCGGGAACUCAAAGGAGACUGCCGGUGAUAAACCGGAGGAAGGUGGGGAUGACGUCAAGUCAUCAUGGCCCUUACGAGUAGGGCUACACACGUGCUACAAUGGCGCAUACAAAGAGAAGCGACCUCGCGAGAGCAAGCGGACCUCACAAAGUGCGUCGUAGUCCGGAUCGGAGUCUGCAACUCGACUCCGUGAAGUCGGAAUCGCUAGUAAUCGUGGAUCAGAAUGCCACGGUGAAUACGUUCCCGGGCCUUGUACACACCGCCC
RNAcentral lists this ribosomal RNA (610 nucleotides) under Pantoea agglomerans. Its description in RNAcentral is "bacterial SSU rRNA". It matches the Rfam family "Bacterial small subunit ribosomal RNA", at positions 785 to 1395 of the family's 1533-position model. The record is from RNAcentral. Lineage: Bacteria; Pseudomonadati; Pseudomonadota; Gammaproteobacteria; Enterobacterales; Erwiniaceae.